UACGAAGGGUGCAAGCGUUACUCGGAAUCACUGGGCGUAAAGCGUGCGUAGGCGGUUCGUUAAGUCUGUUGUGAAAGCCCAGGGCUCAACCCUGGAAGUGCACUGGAUACGACGAAGCUGGAGUACUGAAGAGGAGAGCGGAAUUCCCGGUGUAGAGGUGAAAUUCGUAGAUAUCGGGAGGAACACCAGUGGCGAAGGCGGCUCUCUGGGCAGAUACUGACACUGAGACGCGAAAGCAUGGGGAGCAAACAGG
Molecule: ribosomal RNA, 253 nt
Filed under: uncultured bacterium
Lineage: Bacteria
Description: partial 16S ribosomal RNA
Rfam family: Bacterial small subunit ribosomal RNA
Source: RNAcentral